UCCGUAGGUGAACCUGCGGAAGGAUCAUUAGUGAAUUUAGAGCGUAACUUCGGUUAGCUCAACCUUCAUUUUCCAACUCUGUGCACUAUUGGCGGACUGGGAGCAAGUAAUUGCUAUUCAGUCUGCGGCUCACUAUUAAACAUUAGUUAAAGUAUGUAUAUAAAAACAAAACAAAAAAACUUUCAACAACGGAUCUCUUGGCUCUCGCAUCGAUGAAGAACGCAGCGAAAUGUGAUAAGUAAUGUGAAUUGCAGAAUUCAGUGAAUCAUCGAAUCUUUGAACGCACCUUGCGCUCUCUGGUAUUCCGGAGAGCAUGUCUGUUUGAGUGUCAUGAACUCUUCAACCUACCGAUUUCUAGUAAAUCGGAUUAGUGUUUGGAUUUUGAACGCUUGCUGGCCUUUAUUGGCGAAGCUCGUUCGUAAAUGAUUAGCAUCUCAUAUUCGAAAAUCGGAUUGACUCAGUGUAAUAGACUAUUCGCUGAGGACGCUCUUUCGGGAGUGGCCGAGUUUUGUAAAGUAGAAGCUUCUAAUUCUAUUAGUCAACUUUAGAUUAGACCUCAGAUCAGGCAGGAUUACCCGCUGAACUUAAGCAUAUCAAUAAGCGGAGGAAAAG
Molecule: ribosomal RNA, 612 nt
Filed under: Curvibasidium cygneicollum
Lineage: Eukaryota; Fungi; Basidiomycota; Microbotryomycetes
Description: eukaryotic LSU rRNA
Rfam family: 5.8S ribosomal RNA (bases 178-331)
Source: RNAcentral